Molecule: unclassified non-coding RNA, 222 nt
Filed under: Hevea brasiliensis (rubber tree)
Lineage: Eukaryota; Viridiplantae; Streptophyta; Magnoliopsida; Malpighiales; Euphorbiaceae
Source: RNAcentral
AAAAUGCACAGAAAAGGAAUAUUUCGUUCAGCAUACACUAUUUUGAUUUCAAUUGAAGCCGCAAAUGAAGAGCUCAUUACAGCAGUGAAUCAAGAACAAAACGCUACAAAACUUCGAUAUCAAAGUAUUAUUCCCGUCCUUCAAAGUGUAUCCUAGGGGCAGAUGAAAUUGACCACCAACAACUAGCUUGAUUUUCAAAUGUCAAGAAGCAGCCUGCGUGGG